UGAAGAGAAAAUCCAGCUGUGCGUUUCCGUCAGUGAAUUCCAAGGUCACCGGCAAGAUUUCCACCUACCAGGAGGAAAACAUGGUGACUCCGCCUCCAUGUCUCCUUUCUUCCUCCUUGCCAGUUGAUUUUGCUAUCAGUUUGCAAGAACAAACAGCACAUGGCUAGUGACCUUUGGAAGCCGCAUGCACAGCCAAAGAGUACCAGCAGAACCAUGGCAGUACCACCGCUGGCUGUGAGUCUUCUUGCUAGACCCGUCACGCCUUGGGGAUGCAGAGGGGCAUCUGGGCUGCCCUGAGGCUGUGGCUGAGUUGACUGUAGAAUUAGUACUUUUGAGAGGUUUCCAUGGGAAAAAUGAAAGGACAGCAGUGAACUGAGUCUCCUGGAUGCUUGCUGGGCUGAUCUCAUGGGAGUCAACCCCACAGGCGGUGCCCGAGAUGAAAUCCCAUCUGCCUGCUGUGACUACUCUGGGACAAUUGACACAAACAACUACUAACAUCUCCUGGCUUUGAAAUUUUCUGACUCCUUUGAUGACCUUUACUUUGUGACCUGCAUCGUGGUACAACUAUACUAAAUUAGACUGUGGAUUCAGACAUAAUUGGAGAGGCUAUGGCAAAAUCAAGAGGACAUUUCAAAAACCAUACGUGAAAGAAUUGUCAAAAUCAACCACUUGAUGGCUCUGGAAAUCAACUAUGGGACAGAUGAUAAGUCGGGAAGAAUUUGUCCCCAAAACCUACCAGAGCUUGGGGUAAGAACAGUAGACAUAUAAUCUUUUUUUUUAUUUUAAAAAGAUUAAGAUAAAAGAGGACAUAACAAAACAGAUCAGAACAGAACAAUUUAAGCAAAAUAGUGUUUCACCACAAGACAACCCAACAUAACAGUAGCUACCAUAGUGUCUCUUUCCUUGAAAUAUUUGAGUAUACUUUCAUAUACUGUAGUAUCAAACAUAACAAUAUAGUAUAAAACCAUUCAAGAGAAUGAAAGUAUUACAGGGUAUUCAAAACCAACUAACAGAAAAUGAACAAUGACUAUAUUAUCUCCUUGUCCAUAAAAAAUUUUGUUUAUAUUAUAACAUAUAAUAAAAUCCAAUAAGAUACAACAUGAUAAAACCGAUGGAGACAGAAGAACAAAAGCUUGGUAGGACUUCAAAACAAGAUGAUAUUAAAUCAGCACUAGCUAUUACAGUGUCUUGUUUUCUUCAAAAUAGCUGUUCAUACCAUCACAGACAAUAAAAUCAAACAACCCAGAAUAAAACCAUUCCAACUAAUGAAUGAAAACAUUAUAAGGCUUCAAAGCAAUAUAAUGAGGAAUCAUGAUUACCACAUACUUUUAUGUAUUCUUACCAUUUCUUACACUAGGGAGACUAUUCAGCAUUUAUACAUGUGAGUUUGAUUUAUUUCGCUUAUGAGUAUGGUCUGAAGCUGCGCCCACUUAUGACAUCUAAUCUUCUUGAUGGAGUCUGCUUUCAUCCCUUGCUACAGCUUUGUUAGUCAAAGACAGUAGUUUUUUUCAGUGCUGGGCAUGCUGCAAAACCAGCGGAAGUCAGCUCAAGUAAUCACGGUGGAUAGAAGGAUGGGGUGAUGUGACAGUUGAACUAUUUUAUCAAUUUGAAUAAAUUACACUAACUAAAUCACCUCAGCAUAGUUCUGGGUGUGGAAAAGCCACCCUAGGGAGGAUUACCACCACAGUGCUAUACAAAGGGGAAAACAUAAGAGGAAAGAUCCCUUCAUCUUCCUCCCCAGGUGCUCUAGUCUUUGCUUUCACCUUGGACUUCAUUCCUGGCUUUCAGCAGACUGUUUAGCCUCCAACAGAGAAUGCUCACCUUCAGCUUUCUGGUACAGUCCCUUCAGCAUCCUUAUUUGAAGCUCACAUGGGACCACCAGGCCCGUGACUGAAUCCUUCAGAUCCCAAGUGGGCAGACAGACCUUUUGCACUGUCCCACACCCAGCUCUGUGGGCAGCCAUUGUAAGCCAACUUGUAAAUUAUAAUGUAUAUUUGAAUAUCUUCUAUCGUAUCUGUGUGUCUCAUAAACACUGACUAAUGCAUGUGAGGUUAAAAAAAAAAAAACAUGCUUUUCCAGGUAAAAGUGGCAAAUUCGGUAAAAAAGAUAUAUGUGGAAACACUUUUCAAUUUGUUAGUCCAAGAAUGCAACCUAGUUGUGGUGACACGUUAGCCAAAAACUUAAUGGGGAGAUUCUGGAAAUAAGAGAGCCAUGUAACUGCAUAAACUUUGCAUACUAAUCUCGGUGACUGGAAAAUAAACAUGUAUGAGGAAGACCCCAAAAAAUAAAAAAAGACUUGAGAUCUCGUAUGUCCAAGUAAUUUCUGUACUCACACACUGAUCAAUUAGCAGGCACAAUUUCUACCAAAUCAUUGACUGUUCAGUUAGCUAAACAGACACAGAGGUAACUUCCAGUAAGCUGGAUUCGAAACUUGGGCAGAUACAUCAGUGAUCAAACAUUGGGAAAUUUCUCAACAAACUCAUCAACACUUGGUUUUGUUCAUCUUUUUACUAAAGCCACUUAUGUGGGUUAUUGUUAUAUUAUGGUUUAAUUUGCAUUUUAUUAUUGGCUAAUGAUGUUGGAAAAUUUUCAUGCUUUUAUUAGCCAUUCAUACAUUUUCUUUGGUGAAAUACCUAUUCAAAUAACUCACCCAUUUAAAAAUACAUACAUUUUCCUAGAGAUAAAAUGGGUACAAUCAGUUUCAGGUAUUUUUUUUUCCAGUUUCUUUAAAAGUGAAGCAUAGAAGUGACAUACAACCCAGCCAUUUCACUUUAUGUAUUAAUACAAAAAUAUCAAUCCAAAAUUUUUACAGAAAUGUUCAUAGCAAAAUUAUUUAUACAACUGAAAAUUGAAAACAAUUCAAAUAGCCAAAAACUAGAGCAUAUGUUAAGUAGAAGAUGGGCUAACCAAGAAUGGAAUGCCAUUCAAAAUUGAAGGGAACAAAAUAUUACCCACACCGUGGAUGAACCUCCAAAACACGGGGCUAAAGGAAAGAAAUCAUAUGCCAAAGAACACUAUUGUAUAUCUUUAUGUGACAUUUCUAAAAAAAGGCAGCACUAGAAACUCAAAACAAAUCAAUAGCUGGCUGGGCCAGAAAAUAGGAGCAUAUGGUGAUCAAAUUUAGGCAAGAUUGGGGUGAUCCAAUACUCUAAAACUGGGUUAUAAUGAUGGUUGCUUGAUCACUUAAAUUAACUAAAAUGCAACAGUCUAUUCAAGUUGAGGCCAUGUAAGGUUUACUUCAUUCAGCAGUGUUUAGAUUUUUUAAGAAAAAUUUUACCAAAGUAGGCACAAUCUCUACCCAAAUUAUUUAAAGUCAUUUAAAAAGCAAAAAAUCAAAUUACAGAUUACAAGAUAUUUGGGGGGAGUUAUACAAUCAUAUAAGGAUUAGAAUCCAGAUAAUCUAUGUUUUGGAUACAUACACACACCCUUACAAACCAACUAGAACUAGAAAACACAGGUUUAUAAAAAUUAUGAAUAAGGAAUUCACCAAGAAAGAAGAGACAAUAAUAAACAUUUAAAAACAAUCUCAUUGUAAUGCAAAAAUGCAAAUUAAAAGCACAAUGAAGUAUCAUGUGAUAUCAGGAAACAUUUUUAAAAAUUCUGAUCACAUCAAGUGUUAGCAAGAAUACAGAGCAAGACAAAUUCUUAAUUCUGAGCAGAAUAUAAAUAGAUUCAUCAUGAAAAAUUUGACUUACAGUGUUGAAGUUACACAUUUUCCAUGACUCAGCCAUUCCAUCAUUCCAUUUCUACACAUACACACACACACACACACACACACACACACACACACACCAGAGAAGUAUUACACAUAUUCUAUAAGAGAAAGCAUACAAAAGCAUUCAUAACAAUAGCUGAUUUUGUGAUCAGAGACUUGAAUUAAGUGUUGUCUAAACCAUUUAUUCCUUAUGUGGUCUCAAACUUUAGCUCUUUUUCAUUCAUUAAAAUGGGAUAACUGUGCCUGUUUUGCAGAGAUACUGUACAAAUUAAAAGAGAAGAAUGUUGGUGAAGAGUGUCACUCAAUGUCUGACACUUAAGAAAUUUUUAAGAAUGGUAUUUUCCACGUGUCUAUGAAUUAGGGAAAUAUUCAUAUUCUUCACUGAUUGGAAGAAAUUGCUUGACUGUAAGUAAAGGCACGUGUGAGGCGAACAAGUGAGCUCCUCCAUUUUCUCUUAUUCUGUGCUUUCCUAGAAGUCCAUAAACCCUCUGCUCCUAAGAAUUUGAAUCCAGAAGGAGAAGGUAUUGUCGUAGUCAGGGGUUGUAGACAGAGAACAACUAGGAUUAGGAUAUGGAGUUCAUAAUAUUUUUAUAAUGGUCACCAGAAGUUAACACAAGAAAACGCAGGAAAUCUAUCCUCAACACCAAAGACAUAGAUUAUUUAGUCAAGAGCCUAAACCCCACGGCAAUUGUCCCACAUGAGUCCAGAUAAAAUCCAGAGCUCAGAACAAUGCCUUCCACGAGUCCAACUGGAGGUCCAGAGCCCACAGUAAGGACUCACACCAGUCUCUUUUACAGAUCCAUGCCGGGAAGACCCAAGGGUCAGCAGUGGAAGCCAGAAAGUCUAUGCCAGCAGGAUGAAGGAGCUGUGCUAGUGGGAUGAGGGUUCUCCGCUGGAGCCGAGAAGUCACACUCACAACAAAGAGCAGGGCUAUCCUGAAAGGCACCACAGCCAUCCUCAGUGACACGGAGGCCCCGAGCUCCUCCAACGACAAGCACAGUCGGAUAUGUGCCAGGAAAUAGCGUGAUGAGUUCAUCCUGGAGACCAAGCAGCACAUGUCUUCCUCUCCAAAGCCAGGAAGCAAUGCUUGAUGUGAGGACCAAAGCCUUUCCAGGAGAACCAAAAGCUCAGACAGCAACUCGUAGGAGAACCCACAAUGCUUCCUUACCGCCUCAAUCCUUCUCAACACCUCCCUUCUUCUCCACUUAUUUAUCCUGGCAACCCUCCUCAGGUGGAGCAUCUUCUCUCAAUGCAUGCUGAUGUAAUCCAGCUGGCGUUAAGUUGACCACCAGUUCUCAGACCAUAACAAGUAUGUCAUGGAAAGAGCAGGGCCAGGAUGCUGACACAGUCACACGUGUAGGAAGCCAUUGAUCACUAUCUUUCUCCACCUAGAUCUCAAUAGGAAUUAUAUAAAGUUGGUCUUGGCCCAAACAGCACCUGUGUCAUAUUUGAAUGCAAAAUCACUAGUUUUUUUUUUAAAGAAAAAAAAAUACAGAAAAGAAAAACAAAAAUCAAGAGGCAUACAAACAACAGCUACAAGAAACUCAAAACAAUAAUUAUAUAGGCUUUCAAAACAAGGUGAUAGGAACUUAACAACGGUUAUAAUAUAGUUAUCUUCAAGAGUCACUUAGAUUACCCCAUAUAAACUUGCAAAAUUGGUCUAAUCAUAUGAGUAUUAACUGUUAUUUUCCAAGAACUAAUAGAAUUGGUAGUAUAAUCAUUUUAGAUAUUUUAUGUAUAUAUAAGCAAAUUUAUAUCUUUUUCCUUUUUCUUCCCUUUUUUUCUCCUUUCCCCUACCCCAGUUUAUUUUACUCCUUUGAGCAUUUUCUUAUCCUUUCACAGUAUUUAUUGUAGAUUUUGGGUUUUAUUUACUCUUUCCAUCUCUUACACUACAGAGAAAGUGUAGUAUUUAUAGUAUUUACACAUGUGAGUCUGGUUUAUUUCACUUGUGUAUAUGGUCUCAAGUCUUACUCAUUUACCUAUAAAUCUCUCAAUGUAAUCCUUUUUUUUAAUUAAGUAGUACUCUAUUGUAUAAAAACACCACAUCAUUUCCAUCCAUUGCUUGAUAGGAACUUGGGUUGUUUCCACAAUUUGGCUAUUACAAAUUGUGCUGCUGUAAACAUGGGUGCACAUAUAUCACUAUGAUAUGAUGUUUUCAGUUCUUCUGGGAAUAUGCCCAGAAGUGGAAUAGCUAGGUCAAAUGGAAUCUCUAAUCCUAGCUUUUUGAGGAGUCUCCACACUGAAUUCCACAGUGGUUUCACCAGUCUAUACUCCCACCAACAGUGGAGAAAGGUUCCUUUUCCCUCAGAGCCUUUCCAGCAUUUGUUACUGGUUGAUUUCUUGAUCCUGGCCAUUCUUUCUGGGAUGAGAUGGAAUUUCAGUGUUAUUUUAAUUUGCGUUUCUCUAAUGAUCAGUGAUGCUGAACAUGUUUUCAUAUACUUAUUUGCCAUUUAAAUUUCUUUGUCUGAGAAGUGUAUAUCAGUUACUCAUUUUUGAAUUGGACCGUUGAAUUUUGGGGGCCUGAUUUUUAAAAAAUUCUUUAUAUGUUCUAGAUAGAAAUCCUUUGUCUGAGAGACAGUUACCUAAGAUAUUUUCCCAAUUCAUGGGUUUUCUUUUCACUCUGUUGGAGAUUUCCUUUGACAUGAAAAAACGUUUUAAUAAGAUGAGAUCCCAGUUGUUGAUUCUAGGAAGUAUUUUCCAUGCAGUUUGAUUUUUGUCCAUGAACUCUCAACCUACUCCUUUGUCAUCAAGAUUUCUACCUAAUUUGGUUUCCAGCAGAUUUAAUGUUUUUGUUUUAAUAUGAUCUUUGUUUAAUAUGAUGUUUAAUAAGAUCUUUGAUUCAUUUUGACUUUAAUAUGUGCAUUGUGAUAGAUAUCAAUCUAGUUUUAAUUUUUUGUAUAUGGAAAGCCAGUUACUCUAGCACCACUUAUUAAAGAGGCUAUCUUUCAACCAAAGAAACAGGUUUGUCCCUUGUUGAAGAUGAGGUAGCUGACUGUGUUUGUAGUUAUGGUUGUAUCUUCUAAUCUAUUCCAUUGAUCUUCAGGUCUGUAUUUUUGCCAGUACCAUGCUGAUUUUAUCAUAGUAGGUUUGUAGUAUAAUUUCAAGUCAGGGAUUGUGAUGCUUCCUGCCUUGCCUUUGUUACCUAGAGUUGCCUUUGCUACUCUAGAUCUCAUCUGGUUCCGUAUGACUUUUAGGAAUGAUUGCCUCUACAUCUGUGAGGUAUAUAAAUGGUAUUUUGAUUGGAACUGCAUUAAUCUGUAUAACAAUCUUAGGAGAUGGCCAUUUUCACAAUGUUUGUUCUUCCUAUACAUGAACAAAGAAUGUCUUUCCAUUUUGUGAAAUCUUUUUGCAAAAUCAGUAGUUUUGAAGAGUAAAUGUACUUUUAUAUGUUCAAUGAGACACACUGACUCAAAAUUAAAGAUCAUUUUAGUUUAUCUUGCUAGAAAAGAAGAUAAACUAAGAAAUAUUUUUUGACUUCACAAUUACAUGAGUGAAGUCAAAAAAUGUUUUUGCUCUUUUACAUUAAUUUUACAAGGAAGCUUAUGAUAAAUGGGUUUAAAAUAUGAUUGAAUUUAAGAGUAUGAUAGAAUAUCCUCUUGUUACAAAUGUAUGUAAGGUUACAUCAGGCAAGUCUGAGUGAGUCUUAAAAGAAUUGUCUGAAAAGACAUUCCAGAUUCCAUUCAAAUUCAAGAAUCACGAGGAGCCAGCAGAAUUUUGAAGAGAGUGGAAUGCCCACUACUGGAAGGAGAGAACCUCAGGCUGUAAUCCUGGCUUGGUCACCAAGUGUGACCCAAGAAAGCCAAUUCACAGCUCUGUAUGUCACUGUGAACUUAAUGACCUGCUUCCUCCAAACCUGCAAUUCUAGGGCUUGUUCCCUCGUUAAGACUCCUUAUGGGAUCCAAAAGCAAAAUAGUUAAUGCAGAGCAAAGCGGAGGAAACACCUGGGAGGGAAAGGUGGAAACUCCUGUCAAUUUCUUGUUGUCUUAUCUUGAACUCUUGCAUUAUUUAACACAAUUGUGUUAGGUUUGGCUUUGUUCUGUCUUGUUUUGUUAGAUUCUAUGCUUUCAGAUGGUAGGAGCAGCUAUUUUGAAUACAAUGGGAUAUAUUAUGAUAAUCAUGGUUUCCUAUUAUAUUGCUUUGAAGUUUUGUAAUGCUUUCAUUCAUUUGUUUGAUUGAUUUUAUUCUGUUUUGUUUGAUUUUAUUAUGUGUAAUGGUAUGAACCCCUAUUUUGAAGAAAACAACACAUUAUGGUAGCCAUUGUUGAUUUACUAUCAUCUUGAAGUCCUACCAUGCUUUUGUUCUUCUGUUUUGAUUGGUUCUAUCCUGUUGUGGUUUAUUUGACUUGAUUAUAUGUAAUAGAAUAGAAAUUUUUUGAGGAAAAUAAGGUAUUAUAGUAGCCAUUGUUCAUUUCCUGUUAUUUGGUUUUGAAGUCCUGUAUUCUUUCAUUCUUUUGAAUGGUUUUACACUAUAUUGUUAUGCUAGGUAUUAAUGUGUGUGAAGGUAAUGUCAACUAUUUCGAAGAAAAGAGACAUUAUGGUAGCUACUGUUGUCCAGAUGUCUGCUUGCGAAGUGCUGUGUUGCUUGCACUGUUCUGUUCUGAUUUGCUUUGUUCUGUUCCCUUUUGUUUUAUUCUCUUUAAAAUAAAAAAAAAAACUUAAAAAGAA
Molecule: long non-coding RNA, 8379 nt
Organism: Cavia porcellus (domestic guinea pig)
Lineage: Eukaryota; Metazoa; Chordata; Mammalia; Rodentia; Caviidae
Exons: 5
Source: RefSeq, a predicted model, not a curated record